CUCUCAGCAGGAUAGAGCCUGAUCGGGUUUUUUGUGUGUUUUGUGAGAUAUAUUUGGCCACCCAAGCUUUUUGAAUGAAUCUUGCAGGAGAGAGGACUUCACCAACUCAAGUGUCAUUUUCCUAGAGCUGUUGGAGGUACUUUUAGCAAAGGACCCCCUUUUAGCAAUGAUUAUUUGAAAACUGCAAGGAUUAAAAAACAGUGAUCUUUCAGGUAACGCAGAUGGCAAGGAGGCUUUAGCAGAAGGUCGAGAAAGCCAACUGUUAUGUUAGAGGUGGUUACCUCAUAUGACACAUGGAUCUGGCAUGCUUUCUUUGAAGUCCCUGGAUACCAAAAUGACAUUACAGUUCUUGGGCGUUCACCCUUCUUCAAUAACUUGACAGAAGGUAAAGCACCUUAACUUGACUACUACAUCAACAACCGUCAAUACAAUAUGGGGUAUUACUUGGCAGAUGACAUUUACCCAAAGUGGGUGGCACUUGUCCAAGCAAUUCCAAACCCUAGGAAUGACGCAGAAAAGUUGUUUACCUUACGCCAAGAGGCAUACCGGAAAAAUGUUGAGAAAGCUUUCGGUAUUCUACAAUCACGGUGGAAGAUCAUUAAUGAACCGGCAAUAGGGUGGAGUCGAAAAAAUUUGGACUCCAUCAUGAUGUCUUACAUCAUAUUACACAAUAUAAUAGUGGAGGAUGAGUGAGAUGGGUAUAUUGAUGGAAAGUCCGAUGACAACCAAGAAGAUCCAAAUAGGUC
Pyrus x bretschneideri (Chinese white pear) is the source of this 746-nucleotide long non-coding RNA. RefSeq lists it as uncharacterized. Lineage: Eukaryota; Viridiplantae; Streptophyta; Magnoliopsida; Rosales; Rosaceae. The transcript has 3 exons. The record is from RefSeq and is a predicted model, not a curated record.